Gorilla gorilla gorilla (western lowland gorilla) is the source of this 3255-nucleotide long non-coding RNA. RefSeq lists it as uncharacterized. The transcript is spliced from 4 exons. Lineage: Eukaryota; Metazoa; Chordata; Mammalia; Primates; Hominidae. The record is from RefSeq and is a predicted model, not a curated record.
GAGCUGCGGUACCGGGUUCCGCCCCGGCCCGCGCCCUCUAGCUGGCGCCACCCAAGCGGCAAGGGACGUCGCGGCCCUCCCGGGAUUGGUGGGAGGAUCGUGGGGGAGCGGCAGCUCAGGACGGAAUACGGCAAUGACCGCCCCGGUCGCGAGGGUGACCCUGCCCCGGGCUGCUGUGGGGGCGCAAGAACCCUUUCACUUUACGGCGAGAUUAAGCUCAGGGUCAAGUUCUGAGCAAAAAGUGUCAAGGAGCCUUUUUGCAACCUCCUAUACUAUUGAAACAGAUUCUGUGCCCUUUAAAGGAGAUAAUAACUAACAUCUGGGGAGCGCUUUACAAUUUAGAAAAGGUCUUUCACACACAGGCCUGUUUCAUCUUCACAACAAUCUUAUAAAACAGAUAUAUUGUUCCCAUUUCCCAAAUAAUGAAACGGAAGCGCCGAAAACAUCUCCUAUAGGGCUCAUCAAACUGUGGUCAACUUAGUAAAUGAUGUUGACAGUGGAAGUGUGAUCAUUUUAUUUUCCUGCCUUUGGAAUUGAAGAAUGUAAUUUUGCAAAAAUUUUGUUGAAGAUGAUGUAGCUUUGGUUCAGAGAGCUGGAGUACAAUGGCACCAUCUCAGCUCGCUGCAACCUCCACCUCCUGGGUUCAAGCGAUUCUCCUGCCUCAGCCUCCCGAGUAGCUGGGAUUACAGGUUCCAAGUCUCUGGCCUCUCAAACAUGGUACCAUCCCUAAUGAAGUCAACAGGGGUCCAGCAUGACAGGAUGGAAGUACAAGUGUCAGCACCUAUGUGAGUCCCAAGAGGGGAAAUUAGAAACAAAAAGGAAGAAGAGGACAUAGGCCAGGCACGGUGGCUCACGCCUGUAAUCCCAACACUUUGGGAGGCCGAGGUGGGCGGAUCACCUGAGGUCAGGAGUUCAAGACCAGCCUGGUCAACACGGCAAAAGCCCAUCUCUACUAAAAAAUACAAAAAAUUAGCCAGGCGUGGUGGUGGGAGCCUGUAAUCCCACCUACUCGGGAGGCUGAGGCAGGAGAAUUGCUUCAAUCUGGGAGGCAGAGGUUGCAGUGAGCUGAGAUCGUGCCAUUGCACUCCAGCCUGGGCGACAGAGUAAGACUCUGUCUCAGAAAAAAAAAAAAAAAAAAAGGAAAAAAAAAGAUGAUAUAGUCAAAGAAAUAACAUUAAAUUUCUUAUAAUUUAAGACGAAUGAUUUCAGAUUGAAAAGUUUAUAAAGGUGUCAAAGAGAAAAGGAAAGAUCCACACUAGAUACAUUAGAAUGAAAUGUCAAAGUAACAUACAUAAAGAAGAAAUUCUGAAAUCUUCUAGAAAGAAAGAACAUGUUGUCUAUGAAGGAACAAGGAUCAUAUUGAUAUUAGAUUUCUCAACAGCACAUGUGCUGCAAGAAGACAAAGGAGUAAUAUUUAUUAAGUAUUGUGAAACAAACCUAGAGCUUAGAAUUUCAUAUUUAAAAUUUUAAAUAAAUUAUCAUUCAAAUUGAUAUAGUUUGGGGGCCGGGUGUGGUGGCUCACGCCUAUAAUCCCAGCACUUUGGGAGACUAAGGUGGGCAGAUCACUUGAGCUCAGGAGUUUGAGACCAGCCUGGCAAACAGGGCAAAACCCCAUCUCAAAAUACAAAAAUUAGCUAGAUAUGGUGGUGCAUGCCCAUAAUCCCAGCUACUUGGGAGGCUGAGGCUCGAGAAUUGUUUGAACUUGGGAGACGGAGGUUGCAGUGAGCCAAGAUCGUGCCAUUGCACUCCAGCCUGGGUGACAGAGUGAGACUCGGUCUCAUAUAUAUAUGAGACUGACGAAUUGAUACAGUUUGGAUAUAUGUCCCUGCCCCAGUCUCAUGUUGAACUGUAAUCUGCAGUGUUGGAGGUGGGGCCUGGUGGGAGGUGGUUGGAUCAUGGGGGCAGAUUUCCAUGAAUGGUUUAACACCAUCUUCCUGGUUUGUCCUCAUGACAGUGAGUGAGUUCUUGAGAGAACUCAUCAUUUAAAAAUGUGUGGCACUUCCUCUCUUUCUCUCUUGCUCCUGCUCUGGGCAUGUGACGUGCCUGCUCCCCCUUUGCCUACUGCCAUAAUUCAGAGUUUCCUGAGGCCUCCCAAGAAGAUAAGCCGAUGCCAGCACCGUGCUUCCUGUAAGCUGGCAGAACUAUGAGUAAAUUAAACCUCUUUUUUAAAUAAGUUACCCAGUCUCAGGUAUUUUUUAUAGCAAUGUGAGAAUGUGCUAGCACACAAAUAUAAGUUACCACUUAAAUUAUCAUUCAAAUAUAAAAGCAUAGUAAAGCUGACAUUAAGCCUCAAGCAUACGAGUUCACAGAAAAUUUGUCACACAAGGACCCACAUUAUAAGAGAAGCAGAAAUUCAUGCUGCUUUAAGAGAUACCAGAGGCUGGGUGUGGUGGCCCAUGCCUAUAAUGCCAGCACUUUGGGAAGCCAAGGCAGGAGGAUUGUUUGAGCCCAGGAGUUCAAGACCAGCCUGGGCAACAUAGUGAGCCCUUGUCUCUAUAAAAAAUAAAAAAAUUAGCCAUGGCCCAGGUGUGGUGGCUCACGCCUGUAAUCCUAGCACUUUGAGAGGCCGAGGGGGGUGGAUCACUUGAGGAUAGGAGUUCAAAAUCAGCCUGGCCAACAUGGUGAAACCCCAUCUCUACUAAAAAUACAAAAAAUUAGCCAGGUGUGCCAAUGCACGUCUGUAAUCCCAGCUACUUGGGAGGCUGAGGGAGGAGAAUCGCUUGAACCCAGGAGGCAGAGGUUGCAGUGAGCUGAGAUCACACCACUGCACUCCAAUCUGUGUGACAGAGUGAGACUCUGUUUCAAAAAAAGAAACAACCACAUGUGGUGGCAUGCGCCUAUGGUCACAGAUACUUGGGAGGCUUAGGUUGGAGGAUGGCUUGGACCUGGGAAGUUGAGGCUGCAGCAAGCUAUGAUUGUGCCACUGCACUCCAACCUAGGCAACAGAGUGAGACCCUGUCUCAAAAGAAAAAAGAAAAAAGAGAGAGGGAGCAAUAUCAGAAGGUAUCAAACAUGUAAGUAAAAUCCAAAUAAAAGAACCAAAGAGAAAUAGAAACUAUUUCAAUUACAACUCAGAACUAAAUUCCUAGAAAAUAUUAAUAUGACAUGAAAGCAUGCUAAUAUAUUUAUUUUGCAAGAGUAAUAAUAUGGAUUUGACAACUUUAAAAUAGGGAGAAAAUAAAUAAGCUUAUGGUGUUAUCAAUCAGGAGACAGAAAUUAUACCAAUAAUUUAUCAGGAAUUUUUUUUUUUUUUUU